CCAGACUCCUACGGGAGGCAGCAGUGAGGAAUAUUGGUCAAUGGCCGAGAGGCUGAACCAGCCAAGUCGCGUGAGGGAAGACGGCCCUACGGGUUGUAAACCUCUUUUGUCGGGGAGCAAAGAGAGUCACGUGUGACUCAUUGAGAGUACCCGAAGAAAAAGCAUCGGCUAACUCCGUGCCAGCAGCCGCGGUAAUACGGAGGAUGCGAGCGUUAUCCGGAUUUAUUGGGUUUAAAGGGUGCGCAGGCGGAGGUGCAAGUCAGCGGUCAAAUUGCGGGGCUCAACCCCGUACUGCCGUUGAAACUGGCGUUCUUGAGUGGGCGAGAAGUAUGCGGAAUGCGUGGUGUAGCGGUGAAAUGCAUAGAUAUCGCGCAGAACUCCGAUUGCGAAGGCAGCAUGCCGGCUCCACACUGACGCUGAGGCACGAAAGCGUGGGUAUCGAACAGGAUUAGAUACCCCUGUA
RNAcentral lists this ribosomal RNA (463 nucleotides) under uncultured bacterium. RNAcentral's name for it is "bacterial SSU rRNA". It matches the Rfam family "Bacterial small subunit ribosomal RNA", at positions 331 to 792 of the family's 1533-position model. The record is from RNAcentral.